AUACUCAUUUAUUUUAUUUUUUUUUUUAGUGCAAUAUGCUACAAAAUUACAGUGUCUUGAUCUCCCUGUUCUGUCGGACUCCAGUUGUAAAGCUUCUUAUUCAAACAUGAUCACUUCAAAUAUGUUUUGUGCUGGUUUCCUAGAGGGUGGCAAAGAUGCAUGUUCCGCCGAUUCUGGUGGACCACUGGUCUGCAAUGGAAAGCUGUAUGGAGUGGUCUCCUGGGGUCGAAUGUGUGCACUCCGUAACUAUCCUGGUGUCUACACCAAAGUCUGCAACUAUUUUGACUGGAUUAAGAACAUUAUAGAGCAAAACUGAAGCCAAUUUUACACCGAAACAAACAUACAAUAAAGCAUAGUGAAAGUUCUCAGCA
This is a long non-coding RNA of Rana temporaria (common frog), 371 nucleotides long. RefSeq lists it as uncharacterized. The record is from RefSeq and is a predicted model, not a curated record. Lineage: Eukaryota; Metazoa; Chordata; Amphibia; Anura; Ranidae. The transcript has 2 exons.